GCAUUGCUGGACCAAAAUGUGGAGUACAGAGGGGCAUACCUGACAGCAUUGGUUGAGGUUAUGACCCCAAAGGAAAACAGUCUGGCCCUGCCUCAUCCCUCUCUCCUAGGCUUUGAGGAGGCAUGGCUGCAGGAGUGUGUGGAGAUUCUGUUUAGUGAUCUGGAGGCAGAGAGAGGAGGACCAGGGCUGAUCUCCACAGUUUUGUGUGUAGUUAGUGUGCUACUCUCCCAAAGUGUGGACUUGUUUUUGCUCCUUGCUCAAGUUAUUGGAGAAGCACAGAUGUCCUGAAGCUCCUGAGGCUCUCAGAACAGCUUGCACUCAUGCUCUCUGUCUGUGCGGGGUCUCCAUGGUGACCAGGAGCUUGACGGGCCACUUCACGCUCAAAGAGCACAGUAUCAGACCUGAAAAAGGCAAGAGGUUUACCAUCAUUUGCUGAGGGGUUGUGCAUGCCACCGUACACAAACACACAGAAAGAUUGAUCAACACAGGCUUCUACCUGCUUCAGGAUGAGAGUCCACAGGUGAAUUAGGCUCUGCGCUCACUGCUGGACCUGCUCUUGGAAGAAUUCUGGGAUACCAGCGGUGCUUUGGAGUCCUUGGUAUGCCACCUGCCUGACUGUGAUCUGAAUAUCAUUCUGCAGGAGGCCAAAGAGACACACUACAUCUUCUCAGGUUUCCACUGCAGGGGUAAAUGCAUCAAACAGUGAUGUAAUGGCUUUUGCAGCAACAGUAGAGUUGGAGUAACAGCAGGGGAAUACUGCCAGUUUUGUGCCACAUUAAAGGCACAUCUCCCAGGUUAAGUGUCCAUUUUGUGUCCUUAGCAUUGGACUGUGAUGAUUCAUUGCCUGAAUAUGUGCUCAGUUGCUGUGCAACACCCCUGUGUAUCUCAGGACGCAGUGGAAGGACACAGCUGGGUUUCCCAGUAGCCAUCAGUGGAGCAGAUGGCCUGGGUUCACAACAAAUACUAAAAGCACUCCUAUCUUGUCCCUUCAAUUGUAUUGUUAAUUACUUAUUGACAAUUUAUUUUUAUUUAUUUUUUUAUCCAGAUGACAUUCGGGUGGGUUUUUCAUUUUAUUUUAAAAUGUAUGAAAUCUGAAAAAAUAAAUACAUCUGGAUUAAAAUAUUAAGGCCAAUCACCAUUUAUUAUUAUUAUUUUAUCCUUUUUUUUUUUCAGUUUGUUUUCACAUAAAAAAAAAAUUAUUUGAUCUUUUUUAUUUUUUUAUUACACUUCUCUAGUUUUUGUACAAUACUUGUAUACUCAAAGUUGUGGCACUGCUAAUAUUUUUAACUUCUGUAUUAUAAAUUGCUUGUUUUUCCUCAUUUGUAAGGCCAUUUUAUCCUUAUUUAAUAAAACAUAAGUAGAAAAAUGUUUUGUUUUUUUUUUUGUUUUUUUUUAAGUAAAUAUUAUGUGCCUUGUAUUCUGAGAAAACCAUUCUAAAUUCAAACAUAAAUUGGCUUUUUAAAGCAUGUUUAACGUUUAUACUGCAGGUAUAAUUUAAUCUUUGCUCGCCACUUAAAAAUUAGCUCAUAUUUUCCAAAUGGGUUAUAAAUGGGCUGUUUCUGUUUCUUUCUUUCUUUAAACUAUAUUAAAUGAGAGUUGUUUAACGUGAGACAUCUGUGUGUGCAAAAUAAAUGUAUGGAAGUUUUUUUACAGGGCCCGAUAGAUUUGUUUGUCUUUGCUUUUUCCACGCUUUAACUGCUGUCUUCUCUAUACAAACCCAAGUUACACCUUCUGUUUACUUCAAACAGAGAGCUGAAGGAUUGACCUAAGAAAUCACAAGGUUAUCCACCACAGUUUUACAACCUGUUUGACAACAUAGAUCCAUUACAAUAAUAAAUCUUUGGAGAUAGAACAUAACGCAAAUGAUGGAUUGUUAAUUUUUUUUUUUCUUUUUCUUUGUACUGUUUAAAUCUGUGUAUACAUAUACACUCACUGAGCACUUUAUUAGGAACACUACGGUCCUAAUAAAGUGCCCAAUGUGGUCUUCUGCUGUUGUAGCCCAUCCACCUUAAAGUUUGACGUGUUGUGCAUUCUGAGAUGCUAUUCUGCUCACUAUACUUGUACAGUGGUUAUCUGAGUUACCGUAGCCUUUCUGUUAGCUUGAACAAGUCUGGCCAUUCUCUGUUGACCUCUCUCAUCAACAAGGCAUUUCCAUCCAUAGAACUGCUGCUCACUGUAUGUUUUUCGUUUUUGGCACCAUUCUGAGUAAACCCUAGAGACUGUUAUGCAUGAAAAUCCCAGGAGAACUAAACCAGCCCAUCUGGCACCAACAAUAUUUUUUUCAAAUCAAACAUUUUUCCACAUUCCCACAUGAUGGUUGAUGUGAACAUUAACUGAAGGUCCUGACCCAUAUCUGCAUGAUUUUAUGCAUUGCACUGCUGCCACAUGAUUGGCUGAUUAGAUAAUUGCAUGAAUAUGUAGGUGUACAGGUGUUCCUAAGAAAGUGGUCAGUGAGUGUACAUACUGUAAGCUGCACUAUUGAUUGUGGCCACGUUGUAUUAUAUUUGAGCUAUCAAAUAAUUUUGUGAAUCCUCAGAGAGGAUAACAGAACAGCUUUCCUUACCUGAUGGAACAAACUUGAGUAAUGACUGUGAAUAAAAACGCUACCAGCAUAAUCAAUGAACUUUAACACAAAGAGCCACAGAUUUUUGCAGCUCUCAGUCCUGUCAACUGAAGCCAUUGGAUGUCUUGAGUUCUCCCACACUCAUAAAAACUUCUAAGCCCAUAUGGCUGCAGUUUUACAUUGGGAACUUUGUGUAACUUAUUUGGAAAACUAAAGUGGGUCAUUUAACCUGGCAGGAGAAUCACAGAAAGGAAGCACACAAUCUGGCCUAAUUAAACUUGAUUGUUUUCUUCCACCUUUCAAGAUGCCAUAAAAAAUGUAACAUAAUUUUAAAAUUAAUAUCUAUGUGAUACACGUAAAUGCAUCGUACUUAGACCUCGAUUUGAGCUAACAUGAAGCUGUGCUGUAUGUAUAACAGCUGUGUACAGGAUGCACUUUAAACAAAGAGAAAUGUGAGCAUAGUGUUGUCCAGAAUGUACCACUGAGUAACCGUUUACACAAAUAAUGGAGCCCAAAAUAUGAACAGAAUGAGAGAGGCCGUGUAUGUGGGUGUACAUGUGUGUCUUUCAUCCACUCUGAGAGGAACAGCUGUUUAAUAAGCUAGAAUAGACUAUGCCGACUGUGUCAAGUCACCAAUCAGCUCAACCAAUCAACUGUUUUUCUCUUCCUAACAGUCAGUCCUCAGGGGCCCCUCUGCUUCCUUGCAUAAAGGGAUGUUCUUUGUUCCUUGAUGUCCUCAUGAUGUUCUGCUCUGUCAGAUUUGUUUAACAAGAAUAGAUGAGAUGAAUUAAAUAAACAGAGAAUGGAUCUAAGGAGAUGUUUCUACUGAAGGGGUCAGGAUGUCUUCUGAAUUUUAAAGAGAAUGAAAAUUCUGUCAUCAUUUAGUCACCCUCAUGUUGUGCCAAACCCAUAUGACUUUCUGUCUUCUGUUGAA
Myxocyprinus asiaticus (Chinese sucker) is the source of this 3497-nucleotide long non-coding RNA. RefSeq lists it as uncharacterized. The record is from RefSeq and is a predicted model, not a curated record. Lineage: Eukaryota; Metazoa; Chordata; Actinopteri; Cypriniformes; Catostomidae. The transcript is spliced from 6 exons.